AGCGAACGCUGGCGGCAGGCUUAACACAUGCAAGUCGAGCGGGCAUCCUUGUGGUGUCAGCGGCAGACGGGUGAGUAACGCGUGGGAACGUGCCCUUCGGUUCGGAAUAACUCAGGGAAACUUGAGCUAAUACCGGAUACGUGCGAGAGCAGAAAGGUUUAUCUGCCGAAGGAUCGGCCCGCGUCUGAUUAGCUAGUUGGUGAGGUUAUGGCUCACCAAGGCGACGAUCAGUAGCUGGUCUGAGAGGAUGAUCAGCCACACUGGGAUUGAGACACGGCCCAGACUCCUACGGGAGGCAGCAGUGGGGAAUAUUGGACAAUGGGGGCAACCCUGAUCCAGCCAUGCCGCGUGAGUGAUGACGGCCUUAGGGUUGUAAAGCUCUUUUCUCCGGGACGAUAAUGACGGUACCGGAGGAAUAAGCCCCGGCUAACUUCGUG
Molecule: ribosomal RNA, 437 nt
Filed under: uncultured bacterium
Lineage: Bacteria
Description: partial 16S ribosomal RNA
Rfam family: Bacterial small subunit ribosomal RNA
Source: RNAcentral